RNAcentral lists this ribosomal RNA (246 nucleotides) under uncultured bacterium. RNAcentral's name for it is "partial 16S ribosomal RNA". It matches the Rfam family "Bacterial small subunit ribosomal RNA", at positions 524 to 776 of the family's 1533-position model. The record is from RNAcentral.
UACGAAGGGGCUAGCGUUGCUCGGAAUUACUGGGCGUAAAGCGCACGUAGGCGGCUUUCUAAGUCGGGGUGAAAUCCUGGAGCUCAACUCCAGAACUGCCUUCGAAUACUGGAGCUUGAGUCGGAGAGGUGAGUGGAACUGCGAGUGUAGAGGUGAAAUUGUAGAUAUUCGCAAGAACACCAGUGGCGAAGGCGGCUCACUGGCCCGGUACUGACGCUGAGGUGCGAAAGCGUGGGAGCAACAGGG